GGAAGGAGAUCAGGGUCUCAGUCCCCCUUAGGCCGAGUUGCCUUAAAUAAAUGCAUCAGAAACUGUACCUGUUCCCUAACUGGGGCUAGGGCCACUAAUAACACCCCCUUCCCCCACUGUUUUUUUUUUUUUUGCCUUUCGUACAGGCAACUAAAAUACGCACAAGCAUGCUAAUGAGGGCUCAUGAAGAAUAAAAUAAGUGCACUCGUGACAACAGUAUGAUAUUGUCCACAAACCAUUUAGAAAAGGUGAGGAAAAUGGUUUGAGGGAAAAAGGUCCGUCUCCCUGCUGUUCGCCAAAACUGCCAGCAGGGGCCGCUAUCCCCACCUUUCGCAGGCAAAAGCCGCUAGAGAUCCGCGGUGGUGGGGGCUGGGGUGCUCCGGCCGUAGGUGCGCGCGCAGCCCCCGCCUCACGAGGCGCCAGCUCCCGGAGGGGCUGGGGCGUGGGGGCGGCGGGCUUGUCUGCGCGUUUCUGCGGUUCGGAUGGCGACUGGCUCGCGGACAUCCCUUUCGAAUCCAGUCCGGGCACGGGGAAAGGAUCCCGGCUAGCCGUGACCGCUCAAUCCUCUGCCGCGACUAUUUAACGCCCAUGAUUUCGACGUUCAAUCCCGAGCUCGUCUUACUACUGAGCCAAGAAGCAAGAGAUUAAAUUUACGUAAUUUAAAAUUAGAGAAUACAGGAAGAAAAGAAUUUGAGUUAACUUUUUGCGUGGCUGAGAAAUACCGCCCAGAAUCUUCCUGGCAUGGACUAGAUCUGGAGUCUCACCAUCCAAUUAGGCACCCGUGGUCCUGACCAGGUGAGAUGACAUUUCCACCUGCCAGGGGAGAGAUGCUCCCUGGGAGCUGGCAGAAAAGCCAGCUAUUGUGUCUCUGCCUGAAGCCCUCGGGGUAGCACCUGUGGGGAGCUGCCCUGAGAAACCUCAUGACGUCGUUUCCCCUUCUGCGCUCCGCGGACUGACUCCCAGAAGUCUGCCUUAACUUUUAAGUAAAACCGCUGCCUUUCCAGAGCCUUUGAAGUCUGCUGUCUACCCUGUCCCUUCAGGGAAAAAAAGUUAAUGGGAGUUAAAGAAUCACCAAGCGUUAGGACUAGAAGAAAUCCUGGACUGUUUAGUAGUUAAGUGGCCUGGAGUGAGAACAGCCUUAGUCUCUGGAGGCCAGAUGUUUUUAGGUAACUUACUAGCUGGUGGUGACCUUGGGGGCAGUCACUAAUUUUUCUGGAGCAGUGGAUUCACUUGUUAAUGGGGAUUCGCUAUUACUUUCUUCCCAGGGAUUGUGUGAUUUAAAUGAGAUGGAGAGUGUAAACCGCGGGGUUGUAGAGAUAAAGGUUAACUAGCAUCUAUAAAGAUUAACUAGCAUCAUUGUCAUCCUUGCCAUCCUCCACUUCAAACCUCCCACCACCGUUUCACAGGGGUCAGACGGAGGCGGAAGAAAGAAGGGGCUUGCUUUGGGUCAGUGCUGGGAGCUAGCCCAUCAUAACUCCUCUUCAGUGCUCAAAAGACCACACCUACUUUCCCCCACAUCACCUGGAAAAAGUAUGAUGGAGGAAAAGGAAAUGAAAAGGGGAACUCACUCAGGAUUCUUUUAAAGAUCACAUCUAGCUAUUUGAUCUGAUCUCUGCUAAAACCUCUGGCCUCCCUGGUGGCUGAGUGGUGAAUAACUCAUCUGUCAAUGUGGGAGUGGUGGGUC
Molecule: long non-coding RNA, 1684 nt
Filed under: Capra hircus (goat)
Lineage: Eukaryota; Metazoa; Chordata; Mammalia; Artiodactyla; Bovidae
Description: lncRNA (ENSCHIG00010006481.1)
Source: RNAcentral